CCCAAGACUACAAUCAUAGGUGCUACCAUGACUUUUGCUCUUAAAGGGGAAGUCUGCAAAUUUAAAGCCAUUGAAAUCAUAAAAUGUGAAGCACCGUGUUAUCAAUCAAAGGAAAUCAUUUUGAAAGUAAAAAACCCCUUUAACGCUGCUGGAAAUUUCAAUGUCAUUUUAGUGGAAUCUACAACACUGAUCUCUUCUCCAUCACAACUAAUG
Long non-coding RNA from Tupaia belangeri chinensis (Chinese tree shrew), 213 nucleotides. RefSeq lists it as uncharacterized. The transcript is spliced from 3 exons. The record is from RefSeq and is a predicted model, not a curated record. NCBI's taxonomy places the organism in Eukaryota, Metazoa, Chordata, Mammalia, Scandentia, Tupaiidae.